GGCCCGGUAGCGGAUGGACCGCGCCUGCAUUCGAUAUGCCCUUUGAAGUCCGGUUUCAGCAGGAUUGCUCGUUCGACACGAGCCCGGGCCA
This is a non-coding RNA of Mycena epipterygia, 91 nucleotides long. The record is from the annotation of a GenBank genome assembly. Lineage: Eukaryota; Fungi; Basidiomycota; Agaricomycetes; Agaricales; Mycenaceae.